UAUCUGUUAUGAUCUUAUCUCAAACUUGAAUUUCUGUUGAGAAAAACUGAUAUGGUUCUGGCUCUGAGAG
This 70-nucleotide small nucleolar RNA is filed under the name Carlito syrichta (Philippine tarsier). RNAcentral's name for it is "Small nucleolar RNA SNORD50 (ENSTSYG00000021858.2)". It matches the Rfam family "Small nucleolar RNA SNORD50". From Rfam's summary of the family: U50 belongs to the C/D class of snoRNA which contain the C (UGAUGA) and D (CUGA) box motifs. Lineage: Eukaryota; Metazoa; Chordata; Mammalia; Primates; Tarsiidae. The record is from Rfam by way of RNAcentral.